This 849-nucleotide long non-coding RNA is filed under the name Parus major (Great Tit). RNAcentral's name for it is "lncRNA (ENSPMJG00000002225.1)". Lineage: Eukaryota; Metazoa; Chordata; Aves; Passeriformes; Paridae. The record is from RNAcentral.
AGUUCUGCUAGUUUAGUUACAUAAAUUCUGAUUUGUGUAAAGUAAGAUUUAUACCUUUCUGUUUUUCUAGAAGCUGUUUGUGCAGAGAGUGUGUAUAACUUCUUUGGGUGACCUACAGCAGAGCAGGACCUGUUGGUUGCAGCUGCAGUAUCCGACACUGCUGAGUUUUAUUUUCAAUUGCCCAGAGCACAGAAUGCUUUUUCCCACAGUUGGAGGAUGAUGAACUGCUUUGUGAUCUCUCUGGAGUGUGGAGUCUGAUGGGGUAACUGGACAGUGUCAGACACAGUACAGCAACUUUGUGCUCUUCUGCUCAGACCAAGAAAUGAGCUGAGCGACCUCUGCCUUUUAGGGGGAAAUGAAGUUUCUGCUCCACUCACCCAUCACCACCACCCAGAAAUUCAGCAGCUUCUGUGCCUGAGCCAGGUGAACAAUUGGUACAGCUGGGGAUGGGAAGGAAGAAAAGAGAAGUAUGUGAGCACACAUUUGUACUUUUUCCAGCAAAGAAGGCAGGAAGAUUGAUCACCACAAGGAAAAGAUCUUAAAACACCUCUCAGAGGCUCACUGGCAGUUUCAGAGUAACAAGAGUAACAAGUGAUGAUGAUCUUUCUCCACACAAUGACAUCUUUAAGGGCCAGAGAGAAAAUUACAGUCAAAACCAUGUGCAUUCAGGCAAUUUAGACAAUUUUCUGUGUGCAGACAAAAUCCCUGGAUUUCUCCUCAGUGUUUAUCAAGGUAGGCUUCACAAAGUAUUUCAGAAAUCCCUUCCUUCCUUCCUUCCUUCCUUCCUUCCUUCCUUCCUUCCUUCCUUCCUUCCUUCCUUCCUUCCUUCCUUCCUUCCUUCCUUCCUUC